CCUACGGGUGGCAGCAGUGGGGAAUAUUGCGCAAUGGGCGAAAGCCUGACGCAGCGACGCCGCGUGAGGGAUGAAGGUCUUCGGAUCGUAAACCUCUGUCAGCAGGGAAGAACGGUCACUGUGCUAAUCAGCAGUGAAUUGACGGUACCUGACUAAGAAGCCCCGGCUAACUACGUGCCAGCAGCCGCGGUAAUACGGAGGGGGCAAGCGUUAGCCGGAUUUCGUGGGUGUAAAGGGAGCGUAGACGGCAUUGCAAGUGCGGAUUGAAAGCCCGGGGCCCAACCCGGGGACUGCACGGGAAACUGGAAGGCUGGAGUGGGGGAGAAGCAGGCGGAAUGCCUGGUGUAGCGGGGAAAUGCGUAGAUAUCAGGAGGAACACCGGCGGCGAAGGCGGCCUGCUGGACCCUAACUGACGUUGAGGCUCGAAAGCGUGGGGAGCAAACAGGAUUAGAUACCCCAGUAGUC
RNAcentral lists this ribosomal RNA (465 nucleotides) under uncultured bacterium. Its description in RNAcentral is "partial 16S ribosomal RNA". It matches the Rfam family "Bacterial small subunit ribosomal RNA", at positions 338 to 795 of the family's 1533-position model. The record is from RNAcentral.